Molecule: long non-coding RNA, 2340 nt
Filed under: Citrus x clementina
Lineage: Eukaryota; Viridiplantae; Streptophyta; Magnoliopsida; Sapindales; Rutaceae
Description: Citrus clementina (C. clementina) long non-coding RNA (CCLE_LNC006321)
Source: RNAcentral
UCAGUGUGCCAAAAAUAGGCCGUGGGCAAAGCCGCGCCCAACUUUAACUGCCCGAAGGCCGGGGAGCCAAGUUCGUCCAGCGGAAAAAGGCCACAAAAAUGGGUGGGCUAUAGCCUUGGGGGGUGGGGCUGGCCAACUUCGUCCGCCGGACUCGGAAUGCCGCGAGACUUUGCGAGGGGCCUCCGUGUGCCAAAAAUAGGCCGCGGGCAAAGCCGCGCCCAAAAAUAACCGCCCGAAGGCCGGGGCGCCAAGUUCGUCCAGCGGAAAAAGGCCACAAAAACGGGUGGGUUAUAGCCUUGGGGGGUGGGGCUGGCCCACUUCGUCCGCCGGACUUGGAUUGCCGCGAGACUUUACGAGGGGCCUCCGUGUGCCAAAAAUAGGCCGUGGGAUGUUUAAAAGGUUCGUGGCUCAAAAUUUUAUGUUAUCUAGUGAUAAAAUUUUGUAAUCCAUUUUAUAGAUAGGUAGCAGCAGCAAGUUCCGGGGCGCCAAGUUCGUCCAACGGAAAAAGGCCACAAAAACGGAUGGGCUAUAGCCUUGGGGGGUGAUGCGGUCCAAGUUCGUCUGCCGGACUCGGAAUGCCGCGAGACUUUGCGAGGGGCCUCCGUGUGCCAAAAAUAGGCCGCGGGAAAAGCCGCGCCUAAAAUUAACCGCCCGAAAGCCGAGGCGCCAAGUUCGUCCAGCNNNNNNNNNNNNNNNNNNNNNNNNNNNNNNNNNNNNNNNNNNNNNNNNNNNNNNNNNNNNNNNNNNNNNNNNNNNNNNNNNNNNNNNNNNNNNNNNNNNNGGCCACAAAAACGGGUGGGCUAUAUCCUUGGGGGGUGGGGAUGGCCAACUUCGUCCGCCGGACUCGGAAUGCCGCGAGACUUUGCGAGGGGCCUCCGUGUGCCAAAAAUAGGCCGCGGGCAAAGCCGCGCCUAAAAUUAACCGCCCGAAGGCCGAGGCGCCAAGUUCGUCCAGCGGAAAAAGGCCACAAAAUGGGUGGGCUAUAGCCUUGGGGGGUGGGGCUGGCCAACUUCGUCCGCCGGACUCGGAAUGCCGCGAGAAUUUGCGAGGGGCCUCCGUGUGCCAAAAAUAGUCCGCGGGCAAAGCCGCGCACAAAAAUAACCCCCCGAAGGCCGGGGCGCCAAGUUCGUCCAGCGGAAAAAGGCCACAAAAACGGGUGGGCUAUAGCCUUGGGGGGUGGGGCUGGCCAACUUCGUCCGCCGGACUUGGAUUGCCGCGAGACUUUGCGAGGGGCCUCCGUGUGCCAAAAAUAGGCCGUGGGAUGUUUAAAAGGUUCGUGGUUCAAAAUUUUAUGUUAUCUAGUGAUAAAAUUUUGUAGUCCAUUUUAUAGAUAGGUAGCAGCAGCAAAGUCCCGGGGCGCCAAGUUCGUCCAACGGAAAAAGGCCACAAAAACGGAUGGGCUAUAGCCUUGGGGGGUGGGGCUGGCCCACUUCGUCCGCCGGACUUGGAUUGCCGCGAGACUUUUACGAGGGGCCUCCGUGUGCCAAAAUAGGCCGUGGGAUGUUUAAAAGGUUCGUGUUUCAAAAUUUUAUGUUAUCUAGUGAUAAAAUUUUGUAGUCCAUUUUAUAGAUAGGUAGCAGCAGCAAGUCCCGGGGCGCCAAGUUCGUCCAACGGAAAAAGGCCACAAAAACGGAUGGGCUAUAGCCGUGGGGGGUGAUGCGGGCCAACUUCGUCUGCCGGACUCGGAAUGCCGCGAGACUUUGCGAGGGGCCUCCGUGUGCCAAAAAUAGGCCGCGGGCAAAGCCGCGCCCAAAUUUAACUGCCCGAAGGCCGGGGAGUCAAGUUCAUCCAGCGGAAAAAGGCCACAAAAACGGGUGGGCUAUAGCCUUGGGGGGUGGGGAUGGCCAACUUCGUCCGCCGGACUCGGAAUGCCGCGAGACUUUGCGAGGGGCCUCCGUGUGCCAAAAAUAGGCCGCGGGCAAAGCCGCGCCUAAAAUGAACCGCCCGAAGGCCGAGGCGCCAAGUUCGUCCAGCGGAAAAAGGCCACAAAAUGGGUGGGCUAUAGCCUUGGGGGGUGGGGCUGGCCAACUUCGUCCGCCGGACUCGGAAUGCCGCGAGACUUUGCGAGGGGCCUCCGUGUGCCAAAAAUAGGCCGCGGGCAAAGCCGCGCCCAAAUUUAACUGCCCGAAGGCCGGGGAGCCAAGUUCGUCCAGCGGAAAAAGGCCACAAAAAUGGGUGGGCUAUAGCCUUGGGGGGUGGGGCUGGCCAACUUCGUCCGCCGGACUCGGAAUGCCGCGAGACUUUGCGAGGGGCCUCCGUGUGCCAAAAAUAGGCCGCGGGCAAAGCCGUACCCAAAAUUAACAGCCCGAAGAUCGGGGCGCCAAGUUCGUCCAGCGGAAA